Long non-coding RNA from Chinchilla lanigera (long-tailed chinchilla), 1462 nucleotides. RefSeq lists it as uncharacterized. The transcript has 6 exons. NCBI's taxonomy places the organism in Eukaryota, Metazoa, Chordata, Mammalia, Rodentia, Chinchillidae. The record is from RefSeq and is a predicted model, not a curated record.
CUGUGGACUAUACAGCAAUGCUAUGCAGAGGGGAAAUUGCAAGAGACUCCACAGAGAGGAGGGAAAUAGGUGCGGGCAGGGGAGGAGCUCAAGGUGGUGGUGGGGCAGCAGGAAGGGCUGCUCCGAGAUCACAGCCUGGGCAGGGAAGAUCAGGAAGUGGCCUUGCCGCGAACACAUGAUCUGAGUUGUGAGAAGAACAUUGGUCCAGCCACCUGUGCAUGACUCAGGGCAAGGCCAAGUGUCUCUCUGUGAGGAGGAAGCUGGGGACUUGGGUGAGCCUCACUGAGGUCCAGAGCCAUGCAGGAAGGAGCUGCAAGAGGCGGGGCUGAGAUCUGUCAAGGCAGAAAGGCCAACUGAAUUUGUUGCUACUAACACAAAUUCCCUGGCUGUCGUUCCUCUCUCUGGCAAGGGGAAUCCUUGCGACCCUGUUAAAACUGUCUUGGGGUCACAUCUCAGUGAAAGAUCAUCAUUAUUAGGAUGACUACAGCUGACCAGAAUUUAGGCCCUGUGGGAGAAAAUUAAGAAAAUGAGAAGACAUCGUCCACAGUGAGGACAAAUAGGACAGCAGGGUCAGCCAAGAUUAUGAACAUGAAAAGAGCCUGCACAAUAUAAAGCUUUGGGAUUGUUUGGAAAGUCUCCUUCCAGAAGCUCGCACUGGGCCUGGUACAUAGCAAGCAGCCAACUGAGAGGUUGACACCUUUCCCGCUUGUCCACCACAGCUGCAUCAUUUGCAGGACUGGAUGCGCCACCUCGGCAUCAUACCUGCCUUGUCCAGGGCGUGGUACAGUGUCUGGCACACUGUGGGUGCCAACCAGUAUUUGACUUGUAGCCAUGAUGGCAGCAGGGAAUAAGGGCAGCUGAGGUGAGCUGUGGGCUCAGUUUGGAGCAGCUGUCUCAUGGAGCGAGAGGCCCCUGCCAAAGAAGGGUGCAGAGGAAAAGCCUGUAACAGAUUCCCAGUUCAUUCAGAAACAGGAACUCAGCUGGUUCUCAUGUGUACAAUAAAGGGCCGCGGAAGCACCCAUUCCAUUUCUGGGUUCUUGGGGAUGCUGACAGGCCCCGCAUGAGUCACAAGAUCACUUCAGGCAGAGACAUGGAUGAAAGAGAUGGCAAGUGACCCCUGUGGAGUUCUUUUAGCUCCUAUGGUUACCAAAUACUUUCCCUCCUUGGGACCUUUGACCAUGCACUUUUACUGCCUGACACCUUCUAAUUCCACUUUUCACCUCCUCAGGACUCAGCUUCAUUGAGCUCUCUAAAGCAGCCUUCCCUUCCAUACCACCUCAUCCCAAGCAAGCCUCCCCUGAACCUGUCUGUAUCUGCACUCAAGUGGUUCUUUUAUGGCAGUCAUCACACGUGAUAAUUGUUGCAUUGAGUUCUUUACUUCCUUUUGCAUCUUUCUUACAGUGACUAGGGGUUGGCAAGCUAUGUCCCACAGGCCAAAUCCAAUCCAUUGUCUGUUUUUGUA